RNAcentral lists this ribosomal RNA (441 nucleotides) under uncultured bacterium. RNAcentral describes it as "partial 16S ribosomal RNA". It matches the Rfam family "Bacterial small subunit ribosomal RNA", at positions 338 to 795 of the family's 1533-position model. The record is from RNAcentral.
CCUACGGGUGGCAGCAGUGGGGAAUAUUGCACAAUGGGGGAAACCCUGAUGCAGCAACGCCGCGUGAGUGAGGAAGUAUUUCGGUAUGUAAAGCUCUAUCAGCAGGGAAUAGAAAAGAAGGUACCUGAAAAAGAAGCGCCGGCUAACUACGUUCCAGCAGCGGCGGUAAUACGUAGGGAGCAGGCGUUGUCCGGAAUUAAUGGGCGUAAAGGGCGCGUAGGUGGGCGCUUAAGUCAUGUGUGAAAACUCCGGGCUCAACGUGGGAACUGCUUUUGAAACUGGCAAACUAGAGUGUGUGAGAGGAUAGUGGAAUUCCAGGUGUAGGAGUGAAAUCCGUAGAUAUCUGGAGGAACAUCAGUGGCGAAGGCGACUAUCUGGCACAUAACUGACGCUGAGGAGCGAAAGCGUGGGUAGCAAACAGGAUUAGAUACCCCUGUAGUC